This 1651-nucleotide long non-coding RNA is filed under the name Arachis ipaensis. Its description in RNAcentral is "long non-coding RNA (AIPA_LNC001013)". The record is from RNAcentral. Lineage: Eukaryota; Viridiplantae; Streptophyta; Magnoliopsida; Fabales; Fabaceae.
UUGAACACCAGGAGUUGCCUGAAUGAAAGAAGGAUUUAUCGGUGACCCUGGCCACGAUGCUGGAUUGACUGAGAUGAAGCCAAUUACAAAGUCAGAGUGAUCCUCGGCAAUUUUCAGUGCAGCAGCAGUAUAAUCUCCCUUGGCAAGGUUACCAGCUGAACUCAUUUCAGCAAGCAGCAAUAGACCCCUGCCACGAGGCAAGCCCUGCAUAUGAUCCAAGAAAAUGUCAGGCUAUUAACUGACAUCUUUCCGUAGAAUUGACAGAGUAUAAUGAAAAUGACUGCAAUUAUAUACCUUCAAUUUUAUAUGGUUCUAUUCUCAUAGGUUACAACCGAAAAAAAAGACCUAAAUGACUAAGGAAUCCAUGGGUGAAGCCGUGAAGGAGAGCAGAGCCAAAAGGUCCUGUGAGCCAAAGAGAUCACCUAAGUUCAGUUGGCCUACAUAGUUCAGAGUCUUCUAGUAAUUCAUCGAACCUUGGAUCAUAAUUUUAUUGUCUGUAGAUGUAUUUUGACUAAAAGAGACUUUUGAUUUGUCCAAAUUUAAUAGCUAUCUCGAAGUUUAUGGGUAUAUUGUAACGAUCAAAUUCAAGCCAUGAAUCAAUUUAUGCUCUUGUGCUUUUGAAAUUAAAGCCAGUAGGACAAGAUCAAAAGAUGAGGUUAAUAACCAAAUUAACUCUUAAAAAAAGCAAGUGUGCAUCAAUUUAGCUCUUGAAGGAUAUAAUAAUGUCUCAAAUUGAUCCUGAAUGAUAUAAUUGUGAAUCAGAUUAGUUAUUCCAUAAGUUAGAUGAUAACAUAUGACAUAAUCGUUUUACGAUAUAUUAUCAUUUAAUUAUUAAUUUAUUUUACUAGAAUAAAGGAGUUUUUGUUCUUUUAUUGUGUUGGAAUUCAGUUAGCACAAACAAGAACACAAUUUUCGUUCAUCCUUUUACUGUUCGAAGACAACCUUAAAAGUGCAUUUAGGCUCUUCCUUUUAGUGUUGAAAUAUGGUUAGCACAAAAAAACCACAUUUAGUCCAUCCUUUUAUUGUUGACAUAGAUCCUUCAAGUGCACUUUGCCAAGUAUGCAUUCCAUCCUUGAAGACGGUAUUCAUGAGCUGCAUCGGCAGGAUUCGCUGCCUUGAUGAUGCCACGGCCAACAAUGAUAAUGUCACUGCCCCUAUCAUGAACAACCUGGAAAAUCGAUCCACAAAUCGUCAAGAUGAAGGUAAGAAAAGGAUAUGCUAUUGUUCUCAAGACCAAGAAACUAAUAUACUGCAUCUUUCCCUUCAACUAACAUCUUUUUAUCCAUAAAAGUUCUUUUCAACUGAAUAAAGAACAACAAAAUCAAUAGUAUGAUGAUAUUCUUCACAUGUUUAACUUCAGCAUCUGCUAGAAGAUGCAUGGCCAAUAAGCAGAAACUUACUGAAUAUGGAGUGUUAUAUUGCUGCCCUAAUGCAUCGCCACCAGUUACCAUUUGAACACCAGGAGUUGCCUGAAUGAAAGAAGGAUUUAUCGGUGACCCUGGCCACGAUGCUGGAUUGACUGAGAUGAAGCCAAUUACAAAGUCAGAGUGAUCCUCGGCAAUUUUCAGUGCAGCAGCAGUAUAAUCUCCCUUGGCAAGGUUACCAGCUGAACUCAUUUCAGCAAGCAGCAAUAGACCCCUGCCACGAGGCA